This is a long non-coding RNA of Brienomyrus brachyistius, 1059 nucleotides long. RefSeq lists it as uncharacterized. Lineage: Eukaryota; Metazoa; Chordata; Actinopteri; Osteoglossiformes; Mormyridae. The transcript is spliced from 3 exons. The record is from RefSeq and is a predicted model, not a curated record.
UAAAGUUAGUGUCGGAAGUAUGUGAUGUGUAUGUGAUCACUCCCCUCUACGCCAUCGCAAAGCGGAACGAAACGUCACACUGUCCUGGAACAAGUCCAGCCGUGAAUCACGUUACUGAGCUUGUGGUGCAAGUGAAGUUGUCAUCUUGCACACUGGGGGGGGGGGUCCCUGGCUCUGAAUCUUGCAGUCAGUACCAGCGAUUUGCUAAGUCAGUGCCCCCUCAAAAGAUGAAACCCUAGAUGGCCUUCAGUGUCGCUCAGUGGGUUGACUGGCACUGAUCAUGAGUAAUUUGGUGACGUGGUAAGUCGGUUACUCUCUUCCAGACAUAUAAAUGUCCUGAUUUUGCAUGUAUGGAAGGUGGAAGUUUACUUAUCAUGCACGCAGUUGUGUUUAUUACAGCAGCAGUGAAGACGCCAGAAUUGUUACAAAGAAAGUUGAUUAUUUAUGAAUUCACGGCAUUGGACAGUAUCAGCCAGAAGAUUCGUCUUCCAGCAUAAACUCUGUCUGUUGGUGGUGAAAGUGCUGGAUUUGAUGCUGGAGCAAGGUGGUAGUGCGAAAGUGAAGAUUCAAAGGCGAAAGCGUGCGAUCACAUAAUCUCUGUGAGCAACAGGUCGUCUGGCAUCUGAUACAGGACCCGAGGCCUCUUCUCACCUUGAACAGCUCAGUUUCAUUCUCAGGUUUGCUGAUGGACCAAUGAAGUUCAUGUGAGAGAUGUAAUUAUGAAGACAGAUGGGGCUUUAGACCAUGUGGGGAUUGGUUAUCAGCAUCCCUUGGAAAAAAUAUGGCACAGGACCUGAUAAACCUCAAUACACACAGACACACACACACACACACACACACAGAAAAAUUAAGAGGCCACAGGAAACAUUUUUUGUUUCACUCAUUUUUCAAUUUAUGGGUAAACUUCUGUGUAAAACUGCAGCCUGGCUCUUCCCUGUUUCUCAUUAAUGAAGGGCUUCUUCCUUUCUUUAUGAGACUUCAGACCUGCUUCUAAGAGCCUGAUACCCACUGUCCUAGCAGUCCUAGCUGUAUAUCUGAGAAUUUGCCCACAAGGUAUAA